CAGCGGAACUGGUAUUGUGAAACUCGGGAUAUCCGCUUUAAAAAGUCGCUUGUUUGACGAUAAAAAGACGAGAUCUCCAAGUUUCGUCGAAAGAUCAAAGAACGAUUCGUGGGAUAUCUAUGGGGGAUAUUAUAUCGAUUCUAUAAAUGAUAUGUAUAUUUUCCAACAGAUUUAAUUACUCCAUAUUCCUCGUCGUUGAUAUUCAGAAAUAAAUUUCGAAUAAUUAAUGUCGAAGAAGGACAGAGUUAUUGUGUUCUGUGAUCUGAUAUGUUUUUUAUUACUGGAAAGAAAGAAAAAUCCACAGAAUUCAACAGAAUUUCCUCGUAUCAUCACGUUAGUUGGCACAACAACAAGCAUUCUAAGGGAAUUCUCGAUGGAAUGGAAAAGGACUAUUCAUUCGUGAAAAUUUCGUAUCGAAGCACGAUCGAAGCAAGCGAUCGACGAGAAUUCGAGGAGGAAAUAGGUGAAUUUCCAUGGUAGGCCUUCUACUGUCACUUUGUCGCGAUCGAGCCGAUCUUCGACCUCAUUAAGGAUCACAUCCGACAGUAUUAUCGUCGGUGAGGCAUAAAUGAAGUGUACAUUAAGGUGAACGAGAAGAUAUUGAGCAA
This is a long non-coding RNA of Apis laboriosa (Himalayan honeybee), 608 nucleotides long. RefSeq lists it as uncharacterized. The transcript is spliced from 3 exons. Lineage: Eukaryota; Metazoa; Arthropoda; Insecta; Hymenoptera; Apidae. The record is from RefSeq and is a predicted model, not a curated record.